This 465-nucleotide ribosomal RNA is filed under the name uncultured bacterium. Its description in RNAcentral is "partial 16S ribosomal RNA". It matches the Rfam family "Bacterial small subunit ribosomal RNA", at positions 339 to 795 of the family's 1533-position model. The record is from RNAcentral.
CUACGGGCGGCACCAGUGAGGAAUAUUGCGCAAUGGGGGAAACCCUGACGCAGCGACGCCGCGUGGAUGAUGAAGGCCUUAGGGUCGUAAAAUCCUGUCAGGUGGGAAGAAGUGGAUAUAGAUUAAUACUCUAUUUCUUUGACGGUACCACCAAAGGAAGCACCGGCUAACUCCGUGCCAGCAGCCGCGGUAAUACGGAGGGUGCAAACGUUGUUCGGAAUUACUGGGCGUAAAGCGCGCGUAGGCGGUUUGUUAAGUCAGAUGUGAAAGUCCAUGUCUCAACUAUGGAAGUGCAUUUGAAAAUGGCAGACUUGAGUACUGGAGGGGGUGAUGGAAUUCCCGGUGUAGAGGUGAAAUUCGUAGAUAUCGGGAGGAAUACCGGUGGCGAAGGCGAUCACCUGGCCAGAUACUGACGCUGAGGUGCGAAAGCGUGGGGAGCAAACAGGAUUAGAUACCCGGGUAGUC